Molecule: small nucleolar RNA, 84 nt
Organism: Laticauda laticaudata (blue-ringed sea krait)
Lineage: Eukaryota; Metazoa; Chordata; Lepidosauria; Squamata; Elapidae
Source: Ensembl
GUGGUCAGUGAUGAUGCCUUACCACCUUUAAUUCGAGUGUCAUGCCCAUGAGAUAACUCUACAUGCACUACCAUCUGAGACCAC